RNAcentral lists this ribosomal RNA (425 nucleotides) under uncultured bacterium. Its description in RNAcentral is "partial 16S ribosomal RNA". It matches the Rfam family "Bacterial small subunit ribosomal RNA", at positions 354 to 796 of the family's 1533-position model. The record is from RNAcentral.
GUGGGGAAUAUUGGACAAUGGGCGCAAGCCUGAUCCAGCCAUGCCGCGUGAGUGAUGAAGGCCCUAGGGUUGUAAAGCUCUUUCACCGGAGAAGAUAAUGACGGUAUCCGGAGAAGAAGCCCCGGCUAACUUCGUGCCAGCAGCCGCGGUAAUACGAAGGGGGCUAGCGUUGUUCGGAAUUACUGGGCGUAAAGCGCACGUAGGCGGACAUUUAAGUCAGGGGUGAAAUCCCGGGGCUCAACCCCGGAACUGCCUUUGAUACUGGGUGUCUGGAGUAUGGAAGAGGUAAGUGGAAUUCCGAGUGUAGAGGUGAAAUUCGUAGAUAUUCGGAGGAACACCAGUGGCGAAAGCGACUUCCUGGACCAAUACUGACGCUCAUGUGCGAAAGCGUGGGGAGCAAACAGGAUUAGAUACCCCUGUAGUCC